This 1457-nucleotide ribosomal RNA is filed under the name Craugastor pygmaeus (pygmy free-fingered frog). Its description in RNAcentral is "partial 16S ribosomal RNA". It matches the Rfam family "Bacterial large subunit ribosomal RNA", at positions 372 to 2693 of the family's 2925-position model. The record is from RNAcentral. Lineage: Eukaryota; Metazoa; Chordata; Amphibia; Anura; Craugastoridae.
CUCAAAAUCUAGCCUACCCACUUAUCCACCUUUUUCCCCAUACUAAAAUAUUUCAAGCUAUUAGUAGAGAAGAUCAAAAAUUUGUAUAGAGCUAUAAACAUGUACCGAGAGGGAAAGAUGAAAUAACAGUGAAACAAAUUCAAGCAUAAAACAGUAGAGCUUAACUCUCGUACCUUUUGCAUCAUGGUUUAACUAGUCUAACCAAGCAAAAAGACUUUAAGUUUGACACCCCGAAACUAAGUGAGCUACUUUAAGGCAGCUUAUGAGCAAACCCGUCUCUGUUGCAAUAGAGUGGGAAGACCUUUAAGUAGAAGUGAUAUACCUACCGAACUUAGUGAUAGCUGGUUACUCAUGAAAAGAAUUUUAGUUCAACUUAAAGUCUAAAUCAUAUAUAAAAAAUAAACUUCUGACUUUAAAGUAAUUCUAAUGGGGUACAGCCCAUUUGAAAAAGGAUUAAACCUCUUCUGACGGGUAAACAAUUUUAAAUUAAAUAAGUAGGCCUAACAGCAGCCAUCUUUAAAAAUGCGUCAAAGCUUUUUUCCCAAAAAUAGAAUACCUUUACUUUUACUAAACCCUCCCCCGAUAAUGAGUACUUCUAUAACUAUAUAGAAAAUCUUAUGUUAAAACUAGUAACAAGAAGACCCUUCUCUUAUAUGUAAGUAUAAGCCAAACUGGAUACACCAUUGGCAAUUAACAGCCAUGUGGCAACUUAACAAGAAAACCCCACUCUAACCCCCGUUAACCUAACACAAGAACAUAACAAGAAAGAUUAAAAGAAAAAGAAGGAACUCGGCAAAUAUCAAUCCCGCCUGUUUACCAAAAACAUCGCCUCUUGUAACUAUAAGAGGUCCAGCCUGCCCAGUGACUUAUGUUAAACGGCCGCGGUAUACUAACCGUGCAAAGGUAGCGCAAUCACUUGUCCCCUAAAUAGGGACUUGUAUGAAUGGCAUCACGAGGAUUUAACUGUCUCCUUUUUCCAAUCAGUGAAACUAAUCUUCCUGUGAAAAAGCAGGAAUACUCGUAUAAGACGAGAAGACCCUAUGAAGCUUUAGACAUAUAACACAUGCCCCCCACACUUUUCCUGAAACUCAACCAACAGCACAUUGAUUAUAAGUUUUUGGUUGGGGUGACCACGGAGAAAAAUUAAACCUCCGCACUGCCUAAUCUAAAUUUAAAACUAAAAGUUACAACUUUAAUACUCAACAAAUUGACACAAUUGAUCCAAAUAUGUGAUCAAUGAACCAAGUUACUCUAGGGAUAACAGCGCAAUCCACUUCAAGAGCACAUAUCGACAAGUGGGCUUACGACCUCGAUGUUGGAUCAGGGUAUCCUAGUGGUGCAGCCGCUACUAAAGGUUCGUUUGUUCAACGAUUAAAACCCUACGUGAUCUGAGUUCAGACCGGAGUAAUCCAGGUCGGUUUCUAUCUAUAAAGAGCAUUCCCCAGUACGAAAGGACC